Molecule: ribosomal RNA, 465 nt
Filed under: Vreelandella stevensii
Lineage: Bacteria; Pseudomonadati; Pseudomonadota; Gammaproteobacteria; Oceanospirillales; Halomonadaceae
Description: partial 16S ribosomal RNA
Rfam family: Bacterial small subunit ribosomal RNA
Source: RNAcentral
CCUACGGGGGGCUGCAGUGGGGAAUAUUGGACAAUGGGGGGAACCCUGAUCCAGCCAUGCCGCGUGUGUGAAGAAGGCCCUCGGGUUGUAAAGCACUUUCAGUGAGGAAGAACGCCUGGUGGUUAAUACCCAUCAGGAAAGACAUCACUCACAGAAGAAGCACCGGCUAACUCCGUGCCAGCAGCCGCGGUAAUACGGAGGGUGCGAGCGUUAAUCGGAAUUACUGGGCGUAAAGCGCGCGUAGGUGGCUUGAUAAGCCGGUUGUGAAAGCCCCGGGCUCAACCUGGGAACGGCAUCCGGAACUGUCAAGCUAGAGUGCAGGAGAGGAAGGUAGAAUUCCCGGUGUAGCUGUGAAAUGCGUAGAGAUCGGGAGGAAUACCAGUGGCGAAGGCGGCCUUCUGGACUGACACUGACACUGAGGUGCGAAAGCGUGGGUAGCAAACAGGAUUAGAUACCCCAGUAGUC